UGAAUUACAAAUUUUGUUAACUGUCUAC
RNAcentral lists this small RNA (28 nucleotides) under Bombyx mori (domestic silkworm). Its description in RNAcentral is "ovarian small RNA-31219". Lineage: Eukaryota; Metazoa; Arthropoda; Insecta; Lepidoptera; Bombycidae. The record is from RNAcentral.